Molecule: ribosomal RNA, 519 nt
Filed under: uncultured eukaryote
Lineage: Eukaryota
Description: bacterial SSU rRNA
Rfam family: Eukaryotic small subunit ribosomal RNA
Source: RNAcentral
AGGGCACCACCAUUAGUGGAGCCUGCGGCUUAAUUUGACUCAACACGGGAAAACUUACCCGGUCAGGACACUGGAAGGAUUGACAGAUUGAGAGCUCUUUCUUGAUUCAUUGGGUGGUGGUGCAUGGGCGUUCUUAGUUGGUGGAGCGAUUUGUCUGGUUAAUUCCGAUAACCAACUAGACUCUAGGCUACUAUAUAGAUUGCUCGCUUACUGACGCCCUGCACUCUGCUUUUACGGAGAGGCGAGGAUUAUCAGCUCCGUCAAAGGCAGUUAUUCGGUUAUGGACAGGCUUAGGUGAUCACGCACGAAAGAACGCUACACCAAAACGGUCAUGGUGCUUUCUGUCCCUACUCUGCCCCGCGUGGCAAACCAGUUUCCAUCUGCUCCGCCACCGUGACAAGCAACUCCAAUAUCGCCCCUCAAGUCAAAACUUCCUAGUCAGCGCGAGACAUGAUCGCGCGUUGAUUACUUCCCCUGCGAAGCUGUACACUGCGCGCAUCUCUACUGACCAUGCAGCGU